RNAcentral lists this long non-coding RNA (1499 nucleotides) under Callithrix jacchus (white-tufted-ear marmoset). RNAcentral's name for it is "lncRNA (ENSCJAG00000053742.2)". Lineage: Eukaryota; Metazoa; Chordata; Mammalia; Primates; Cebidae. The record is from RNAcentral.
CAACUCUUGGGCUCAAGUGAUCUUCCUACUUUAAUCUCCUGAGGUUCUGGGAUUACAGGUGUGAACCAUCCCAACUUGUCGAUUAUUCUCAAUCUCUCUCAUAACCGCUGAUUUAGGAAGGGACCUUGAGUGCUUAUCUCACCAAUAUCUAGACCUGAAUCUACUGUAGUAGACAGUAGAGCAGUAGUCAGAAGUCUGGGAUCUACUUAGAAUUCUGUGCUUUACACACAGGACCAACAUGGCCAGGUCACUGUGUCUCUCAGAGACUCAGCUUCUCUGUUUGUGAAAGAACAUGUCUGCCUUGAGCAAAGUGGCUGUCAGAACUAGAUGCUCAUGACUGUGCUGACUUUGUGGGUUUACUCCCCCUCUUUUCUCUUUUGCUUAUAGUUUUCUGGUUGCAUUUCUCAACAGCAGAACAUGAUGCAAGAUUUUGUGAGGACAGCCACUUACCACAGAGCCAUCCUCCAGAAUCACAUUGACUUUAGAAACAAGCUGGGUACCUCAAGAGUUUUACCCUGUAUGUACAAGAUGCUGCAAGAGAGAGAAAAACAGGAUCCGUGAGUUUGGGUGUAUGAGACUUUUCAAAACUAGAUCAACAUCUGAAAAGCAAAAUCAGUCAAACCAACAGGUUGGUGCCUGCACAAUGCCAAGAAGUCACUUUGACUCCUUAUUUUCCAUGGCAUUGAUAAACUCUCUUUUACUCUGAACCGUUGGUUUUGCCAUCAUGUAGCCACAGAUUGGUGUCCAAUCUUGCUCUUUUAUCUACUGCCGCUGAGAAAAUGAUAACUGGCUUUGUCACCUGGGUUACUUUUUAAUGAUCUGAAAGACCACAAGGGGCCAGCAUUUCUUUUGUGCAGUUCCUCAUUCACAACCUAAUAGCUAUCUGAAAAGCACUUUCCUGAAAAGAAAAAAAAAGUCUCUCUUCUCAGGCAGAAGGGAUAAUACCGCAUGAUUCUCUGAUUAAACUAUCACACUGCGCAUAUUACGGGGCAUCUGACUUGCUUGAAACUGACUUACUGCUGAAGUUUCUUGGUAUUUGCACUGUUGUUUUUCUGCCAUGAAGCCGUGAAAUGACAGAUGAGUGUCCCUAAACUUUAGUGUGAAUGGCAAGUAAAGUGCCCUAGAAACUGCUGGGGCCCAGCUGUUCCUGAGGCAAUGUUGGAAGGAGAAAUGUGUUUUUCUGUAGGGGAACCCUCUGUGCAAAUGAACUUCAAUCAUGCGUGAAACUAAAGCUGUCACUGCAGGGCACAGUACUGGACCAAAAACACGUUGCACAGUCUUCUCAAUACCCUAGUGGACAGACAGUCUCUGCUAGCACUGACCAAAGUUAGAAGUUAAAGCAGGAAAAUCAUUCUUUCUUCUCCUUAAACUCCUCAAAAAUAUGACAUCUUAAACUUUAAAACCUUCAACUGUAGUGUCUGAUAAAACGAAUUCCUAAGUACUGUGGCAGCUAGCACUUAAAGCAGUGACCUGUACAUUACUGUUUAUAUACCCAUCUG